This 574-nucleotide ribosomal RNA is filed under the name uncultured fungus. RNAcentral describes it as "eukaryotic LSU rRNA". It matches the Rfam family "Eukaryotic large subunit ribosomal RNA", at positions 65 to 653 of the family's 3401-position model. The record is from RNAcentral. Lineage: Eukaryota; Fungi.
ACAACUGGGAUUGCCCUAGUACGGCGAGUGAAGCGGCAACAGCUCAAAUUUGAAAUCUGGCCUCCUUUGGUGGUCUGAGUUGUAAUUUGCAGAGGGUGCUUUGGUGUUGUCAGCGGCCCAAGUUCCUUGGAACAGGACAUCGCAGAGGGUGAGAAUCCCGUCUAUGGUCGCCUGCCCUCACCGUGUAAAGCCCCUUCGACGAGUCGAGUUGUUUGGGAAUGCAGCUCUAAAUGGGAGGUAAAUUUCUUCUAAAGCUAAAUACUGGCCAGAGACCGAUAGCGCACAAGUAGAGUGAUCGAAAGAUGAAAAGCACUUUGGAAAGAGAGUCAAAUAGCACGUGAAAUUGUUGAAAGGGAAGCGCUUGCAGCCAGACUUGCUCGUAGUUGCUCAUCCGGACUUCUGCCCGGAGCACUCUUCUACGAACAGGCCAGCAUCAGUUCGGGUGGCUGGAUAAAGGCCUCUGUCAUGUAUCUCCCUUCGGGGUGACCUUAUAGGGGAGGUGUAAUGCAGUCAACCCGGACUGAGGUCCGCGCAUUUGCUAGGAUGCUGGCGUAAUGGCUGUAAGCGGCCCGUC